CUCCUUGCAGCCGAGAGAGAAGAGCUGAGAGAAACCCAAAGAAACUCCAACCAGUCCUCUUUUCUUUUUCUUCAAUCUUGAACAUCAAUCAAGAAACAAGAAAAUUAUAACUCAUCCUAGCCAAGAAUUGGGGAAGAAAGGCAGAAAUUUCUAGCUCAAAAAAAAACGUGGGGAAAGAAGUUGAAACUAUAAGUUUCAUUGCAGCUUCCAUUCUUGCAAGAUCUAAGGUAAACUUGCUAGCCAAACUUUCCAUUUUUCUCAAGACACACUAAGAUGAUUGAUGCAUAUUAGUUCUAGCCACGGAAAUGGAAAUUUUGUGGGAAAGUACUCUCAUUAGAAGUUGAUUUAUAUGCUGAAAAUUUCCAGCUUUGACCGAGGGCGAAAUGAGUUCAAUUUACAGCCUCUUAUUUCGACCUUUGGAGGAGUUUCCACUAGGAAUUCAUGCUUAUAAGUGUUGUAAUUCUUUUUUAGUAUGAUAUAUAGCAUGUUGUCUCUGAUUUUGGUAGCAAAUUGGUGGCUUACGUGUGAGAAAAUUGGCAGCAACAAAGUUGAAUAACUCCUGUGAAACCAAUGGAGUGAAGCUACAAGUUUGGUUCCUUUCUCCCAAGAAAUCUUGCUGCAAUUUAUUUAAAUGUACCGUAUAUAUCUCCUAUUUCUCUUUCUAGGACCUGCACAUAUUGUAUUGUUU
RNAcentral lists this long non-coding RNA (688 nucleotides) under Coffea arabica (coffee). RNAcentral describes it as "long non-coding RNA (CARA_LNC005416)". The record is from RNAcentral. Lineage: Eukaryota; Viridiplantae; Streptophyta; Magnoliopsida; Gentianales; Rubiaceae.